Molecule: ribosomal RNA, 253 nt
Filed under: uncultured bacterium
Lineage: Bacteria
Description: partial 16S ribosomal RNA
Rfam family: Bacterial small subunit ribosomal RNA
Source: RNAcentral
UACGAAGGGGGCUGGCGUUGCUCGGAAUCACUGGGCGUAAAGCGCACGUAGGCGGAUUGUUAAGUCAGAGGUGAAAUCCUGGAGCUCAACUCCAGAACUGCCUUUGAUACUGGCAAUCUCGAGUCCGGGAGAGGUGAGUGGAACUGCGAGUGUAGAGGUGAAAUUCGUAGAUAUUCGCAAGAACACCAGUGGCGAAGGCGGCUCACUGGCCCGGUACUGACGCUGAGGUGCGAAAGCGUGGGGAGCAAACAGG